RNAcentral lists this ribosomal RNA (468 nucleotides) under uncultured bacterium. Its description in RNAcentral is "partial 16S ribosomal RNA". It matches the Rfam family "Bacterial small subunit ribosomal RNA", at positions 28 to 507 of the family's 1533-position model. The record is from RNAcentral.
GACGAACGCUGGCGGCGUGCUUAACACAUGCAAGUCGAACGGAAAGGCCCUGCUUUUGUGGGGUGCUCGAGUGGCGAACGGGUGAGUAACACGUGAGUAACCUGCCCUUGACUUUGGGAUAACUUCAGGAAACUGGGGCUAAUACCGGAUAGGAGCUCCUGCUGCAUGGUGGGGGUUGGAAAGUCUCGGCGGUUGGGGAUGGACUCGCGGCUUAUCAGCUUGUUGGUGGGGUAGUGGCUUACCAAGGCUUUGACGGGUAGCCGGCCUGAGAGGGUGACCGGCCACAAUGGGACUGAGGUACGGCCCAGACUCCUACGGGAGGCAACAGUGGGGAAUAUUGGACAAUGGGCGGAAGCCUGAUGCAGCAACGCCGGGUGCGGGAAGACGGCCUUCGGGGUGUAAACCGCUUUCGCCUGUGACGAAGCGUGAGUGACGGUAAUGGGUAAAGAAGCACCGGCUAACUACGUG